This 490-nucleotide ribosomal RNA is filed under the name uncultured bacterium. RNAcentral's name for it is "partial 16S ribosomal RNA". It matches the Rfam family "Bacterial small subunit ribosomal RNA", at positions 28 to 507 of the family's 1533-position model. The record is from RNAcentral.
GUUGAACGCUGGCGGCAGGCCUAACACAUGCAAGUCGAAUGGUAACAGGAAACAGCUUGCUGUUUCGCUGACGAGUGGCGGACGGGUGAGUAAUGUCUGGGAAACUGCCUGAUGGAGGGGGAUAACUACUGGAAACGGUAGCUAAUACCGCAUAACGUCGCAAGACCAAAGAGGGGGACCUUCGGGCCUCUUGCCAUCAGAUGUGCCCAGAUGGGAUUAGCUAGUAGGUGGGGUAACGGCUCACCUAGGCGACGAUCCCUAGCUGGUCUGAGAGGAUGACCAGCCACACUGGAACUGAGACACGGUCCAGACUCCUACGGGAGGCAGCAGUGGGGAAUAUUGCACAAUGGGCGCAAGCCUGAUGCAGCCAUGCCGCGUGUAUGAAGAAGGCCUUCGGGUUGUAAAGUACUUUCAGCGGGGAGGAAGGGAGUAAAGUUAAUACCUUUGCUCAUUGACGUUACCCGCAGAAGAAGCACCGGCUAACUCCGUG